AGUGAACGCUGGCGGUAGGCCUAACACAUGCAAGUCGAACGGCAGCACAGUAAGAGCUUGCUCUUACGGGUGGCGAGUGGCGGACGGGUGAGGAAUACAUCGGAAUCUACUUUUUCGUGGGGGAUAACGUAGGGAAACUUACGCUAAUACCGCAUACGACCUACGGGUGAAAGCAGGGGAUCUUCGGACCUUGCGCGAUUGAAUGAGCCGAUGUCGGAUUAGCUAGUUGGCGGGGUGAAGGCCCACCAAGGCGACGAUCCGUAGCUGGUCUGAGAGGAUGAUCAGCCACACUGGAACUACGACACGGUCCAGACUCCUACGGGAGGCAGCAGUGGGGAAUAUUGGACAAUGGGCACAAGCCUGAUCCAGCCAUACCGCGUAGGUGAAGAAGGCCUUCGGGUUGUGAAGCCCUUUUGUUGGGAAAGAAAAGCAGCAGGUGAAUACCCCGCUGUUCUGACGGUACCCAAAGAAUAAGCACCGGCUAACUUCGUG
RNAcentral lists this ribosomal RNA (492 nucleotides) under uncultured bacterium. Its description in RNAcentral is "partial 16S ribosomal RNA". It matches the Rfam family "Bacterial small subunit ribosomal RNA", at positions 29 to 507 of the family's 1533-position model. The record is from RNAcentral.